Molecule: long non-coding RNA, 2445 nt
Filed under: Homo sapiens (human)
Lineage: Eukaryota; Metazoa; Chordata; Mammalia; Primates; Hominidae
Description: HSALNT0402294
Source: RNAcentral
CUAACCAGCAGGCUUCCAGGAGCGCCCAAGUCUCUUUCUAGCAAGCCUCUAGGGGCAGAGGUGGGUGGGACAGCAGCCUCUAACUGGUAAGACACAACUCCUGCUAACUCCUGGGCCUACUCUGGGCCUCAGCUUCUCUAACUGGGCUCUCCUGUAAUAAGUGUAGUGAGGUUCCAUGGCUGCAAGUGAGUGCAUAGCCCUGGCAUACUCAACAAGCUCCUGAAGCCACGCAGGAGACGGGCUUCAAAAGGAGACACUCCCUGUUUGGAAUGAGUGCGUUCUUCUACACAUGAAGUUCCCUGUGACCUAAGCAGCGUUUCAGACGCGUCUAGACACUUCAAGAACCCCUGGGAGCCUAGCGCCAGAUCCAGCACACACACGGGCUUAGGCAGACGUGGCUCCACGGGCACUUUUCUCUGAGAGGCAGGGGAAGUGCACUCCCCGUCUUCUCUGGGUGAUGAAGACAAAGAAACUCUGGACCACCCGCUGCCUCAACAACCUCAGAGAUUCUGACUCUAAAGAGCCCCCCUCCUGUAAGUCCUCCAGCGGCCACAGCCGGUUACGAGCACCCACAGGCGGCUGUCACCAAAAGAUCUCAUCAGAUGGCAAAACCAGAUGCUUCCCCAGAUGCCGUUCCGCAAGAUGGAGCUCUCUGGAGUGCUGGUUACUUCUGCGCCCAAGCCAGUGGGCUGUCUCUCCUGGAUGCCAAAUUAGGGAAGCACUCCCUGAUUAGUAUCCACGUGACCUGUGUUUCUCAGAAAUGCUAAGAACAUUCACUGUUUGGAUGAAGAACACAAUAUUUUUUUUUCUUUCACAUGCACUGGAUGACUUCACCGUGUUUACUGUCUUUGGUUUUGUUCCAAAGUGGUUGUAAAAGUUGGGCCUGAGAUGUGCAAACAUCAUUCUUGGUUGCUGUUUGUGCGCCUGGCUGAGUCCAAGUCCUUACAGGCAGUCCCUCCUGCCUCCCGUGUAUCCCUCACUCCCACCUCCCCCAACACCUAACUCUUCCUCCUUUCCCAAGGGCUCCCUCCCACCUCCCCCUCCUUUUCUCCACCUCCCCUGCCUCCCACCUCCUCUUCCCAUUCCACCCAUCUCUUGUCUCCUUCCUUCCACACGGCUCCUCCCCCGGCCCCCCUGGGCUCCCUUCCCUUCUGCUGAGUCCUCUCCUGGGAACUUCAGCUUUCCCCUCUCUUCAGAGCCAUCCCUAGUAGCCCCCAAGUAUCCUGCAAUUUUGUCCACUCUAAACCCCCCUCCCGUAACCCCCUAUCCCCGGCAAGCUUGCCUCCUGUUUUCUGCAAACGCCAGAGGAACUGCCCCUGCAAUCACUGCCAUUCUGCCACAAGCUGAUGCUGUCGUGGUCAAGGUCACCCAUGACUUCCUGGAGAUUAAGUCCCUUAAGCUGUCCUCUGGGGUGGGGAGGGGCAGCUCGGCCACAGUCCCCCCUCCUACUGCUGCCGGGCUCCCCAACAUCCCCUGGUUUCCUCUCUCUGCUGGCCCCACUUCUAGUCUCCCUCGGGUUCCUCCUGGGGCUCAGCGCCCAGUCCUGGCCUGGCCAUGUGCAACCUCACCACGUGGGGGCUUCUCCCUGAGCUGCAGCCCCCAUGGCUCCCGGACCGCAGGUUCCCGUCCCCCUGGGGCUGCGUGCAAAGGACUGCAGUUCUGAUGCCAGGGAUGCAGAUCUGUCUCCACCCGCCCCAGUGGCAUCGGUCCCCACCACCAGUGCUCAGGCAAAGGCCCUGGAGCUCUCCAUGACCCCCACGUCGUUCUCUCACAGCUGGGGCCAGGAAAUCUCAAUGCCUUGACUUUCAACACCUAUGCAGAAUCCAACGACACCUAACCUGCAGCCACACGGCCCCCGCCGCGGCCACCUUGCUUGUGUUACAGGAGGAGCCUCUGCCUGGCCCUCCUCUGCCCUGGCCCCUCACCUGGUGCACACAAGGCCAGGGGGGAUCCCUUCCGGAAUGUGGAGAGGCCUGGGGAUCUGCCCAACCGCCCACCUCCCUGUUCCUCCCCCUUGAGGUGCCACUCGGGUCCCCCUGCUGUCCCCUGAGGACACUCCUGCCUUGGUGCCCUCUCAUCUGCUGCCCCUGCCUGGAGACUCUUCCUCCAGACCCCACGUGGCUGGGCCUCAGCCUCCUCUGCUCUCGGAGAGGCCACCCGGCUCAAAUGGCAAGCAGCUCCUCCCUGCCACCCUGGGUCCACCCUGCACUCAACCCAUCUUUGCCUCAUGUUCUUUCUGGCUCCCCGGCUGGCAUGCCUACCCCGUGAGGGUGGCAUGCGUCCCCAGCUCCCACAGCAGGCACGGAGGGGCACCAGCCCAGGCCUGAGGAGUGAAGGGCUCCGAGGCUGCCCCUGCACAGUGGAGGGGAGAAGGGGCCUAGAGCUGCCCCACAGUCACCCUAACUCCCUCGGCCCAGGGGUCAUAGACUCACUAGUAGGAACGGU